UAGGGAAUCUUCGGCAAUGGACGGAAGUCUGACCGAGCAACGCCGCGUGAGUGAAGAAGGUUUUCGGAUCGUAAAGCUCUGUUGUAAGAGAAGAACGAGUGUGAGAGUGGAAAGUUCACACUGUGACGGUAUCUUACCAGAAAGGGACGGCUAACUACGUGCCAGCAGCCGCGGUAAUACGUAGGUCCCGAGCGUUGUCCGGAUUUAUUGGGCGUAAAGCGAGCGCAGGCGGUUAGAUAAGUCUGAAGUUAAAGGCUGUGGCUUAACCAUAGUACGCUUUGGAAACUGUUUAACUUGAGUGCAAGAGGGGAGAGUGGAAUUCCAUGUGUAGCGGUGAAAUGCGUAGAUAUAUGGAGGAACACCGGUGGCGAAAGCGGCUCUCUGGCUUGUAACUGACGCUGAGGCUCGAAAGCGUGGGGAGCACAGGAUUAGAUACCCUGGUAGUCCACGCCGUACGAUGAGUGCUAGGUGUUAGACCCUUUCCGGGGUUUAGUGCCGCAGCUAACGCAUUAGCACUCCGCCUGGGGGAGUAGACCGCAG
RNAcentral lists this ribosomal RNA (540 nucleotides) under uncultured bacterium. RNAcentral describes it as "bacterial SSU rRNA". It matches the Rfam family "Bacterial small subunit ribosomal RNA", at positions 355 to 891 of the family's 1533-position model. The record is from RNAcentral.